Molecule: long non-coding RNA, 607 nt
Filed under: Pan troglodytes (chimpanzee)
Lineage: Eukaryota; Metazoa; Chordata; Mammalia; Primates; Hominidae
Description: lincRNA
Source: RNAcentral
UUGAGGAAAGGAGAGGCUAAAAAUUCUGCCUUCUCUCCUAAAGCCAGCCAGGCUCUUUAUGGUGGGGGAAGGAAGGAUUUGUUUAUUUGCACUCUUCUGAAAUAAAAGUUCUCUAUCCUCCCUCCUGGCUGGAGUUGGGAGGGCCCCAUGGGUGGGCUCUGAGAUGUGGCACACGGUACCCAGGGCAGGGCUGGGAAGGGUGGGGUGCAGGGGCCUCCCUGGCUGCAGGGCCCACCCACCAGGUGCCUGGGCUUGCUGCACUGAGCAGGCAUGGGCUCUGGCCCCCCUCACUGUCCCUUCCAGGCCCAGCCUGUGUUCAGGGCCCAGGACAGGGUCUGGCCAGCAGGCCCCAGGCCUCCAAGAUGUUCUCAGCCUCUGGAGUGAGUGUGAUGAUGAGCACUCAUGGAGCUUCCUGUAUGCUGGGCCCUGGGCUUCUGAGAGGGCCACCGGGUGGCGACUGAGUCACGAGGUGGAGGGCCAGUCCCAGGGACUCCAGGUGACCUCGUGUCGGCACCACACCCUUCUCCCAUGGGCAGUCCUGGGCGCCCCUUCCUGGCCUUGGGCCCAGUGGCCUGUGGCCUGACCCCGUCCACUCCUGCUUGGUUGU